UCAAUAGCGUAUAUUAAAGUUGUUGCAGUUAAAAAGCUCGUAGUUGAAUUUCGGGAUCAGUUGGUCGGUCGUGCCUCGGUACGUACUGGUCAAAUUGAUUCCUACCUUCUGACGAACCACGAUGUCAUUAAUUUGGUGUCGCGGGAAAUCAGGACUGUUACUUUGAAAAAAUUAGAGUGUUUAAAGCAAGCUCGCGCUUG
RNAcentral lists this ribosomal RNA (200 nucleotides) under uncultured Glomus. RNAcentral's name for it is "partial small subunit ribosomal RNA". It matches the Rfam family "Eukaryotic small subunit ribosomal RNA", at positions 591 to 797 of the family's 1831-position model. Lineage: Eukaryota; Fungi; Glomeromycota; Glomeromycetes; Glomerales; Glomeraceae. The record is from RNAcentral.